Long non-coding RNA from Podarcis raffonei (Aeolian wall lizard), 319 nucleotides. RefSeq lists it as uncharacterized. Lineage: Eukaryota; Metazoa; Chordata; Lepidosauria; Squamata; Lacertidae. The record is from RefSeq and is a predicted model, not a curated record. The transcript is spliced from 3 exons.
CCCAACUGAGCAUCUUGCCUCUGCCUUAUCAUAAUGAUGAAAACCCGAUAUGUUCUUCUGUCUCUCUUCACCUUCACAAUCUUUCUCAAUCCAGGAAGAACUGACAUCCUUGGCGUACAAACAUGUCGUUUAUUCAGUGGUAUGUGCAUCAACUUUAUGUGUCCUCCACCACGUUUCAAAAUCGGAGAAUGUCGUCGGUUUUACAAUUGCUGUGUAAUUGCUGCCUCUGAGUGAUGGGACGAUACCUCAUCUCUGCUUGUGGAAUCAACAAUUCCAGCUUUAUCACCACCCUUUGCAAGAAUGCAUUUGGGGCUCUUCA